AGUCGUUCCACAUAUGGAGUAUUAUUCCCUAAAGGUGAAGCUAGACAUCCUAAAUGGACAAAAACAACUUUAGUUUGGUAAAUAUUUUUUAAAUAACAAUAUUUUGGUACAUAAAUAAUUUUCUUACAAUAUUUAAAAAAAAAAAAGUCCUUAAUUUAGGGGAAGUGCUUCUCUUUCAAUUCUGAUUUUCUGUAUUGUUGGCUGCUAUUCAAGUGUUGUGUUCCCAUUUCUACCCUUUCCAGUGCUGUUCACAACACACACUCUUCCAUUUUCGGCAGCAGUGGCUUCGUUUCCGGUGAUGCCAUCAAUCAAGUUGAAUGAGAUUUUCUUCUUAGCGCUUCAGGUUGCCAACACCCCCGUCGUCAAGGGUUCUACUUGGGCGGACUGGCAGUAAUUGAUGUGCGAUUUCUGCAUCGAAAACCAACAUUUAAGCAAAAACCACAACAAAUCCAGCUGUGGCACCCAUGAUAAUGGCAUUCUAGGAAAAUGCUGUGUGGGAAAGAACUGUAUGCAGAAUCUUUUGUGGCUGAAGGAGAUGAUUCUGAAGAAGCCAACAUUUGCUUGAUGGCUGAUACAAAAUCUGCUUAGAAGUCAGAACACAAGGAUUGUGAAGAGGUAAUCCAUGACUAAUUGUUAUAAUUGUUUGGCCAAGGGUCCAACAAUUAUAUCCCAUACAAGUAGGUUAAGUACAAAGAUAGGAUGUUUCACAUAGAGGUAUUAUUAUGUACUUAACAAAUACAAGAUAGGAUGUUUCACACACAUAUUCAAUGGAAAACAAAGGAUUGCUUAUACA
Molecule: long non-coding RNA, 793 nt
Organism: Lotus japonicus
Lineage: Eukaryota; Viridiplantae; Streptophyta; Magnoliopsida; Fabales; Fabaceae
Exons: 3
Source: RefSeq, a predicted model, not a curated record